CUUUGAAGUGUCUCUUUAAAGUGUCUCUGUGUCUUUCAGUCCACUUCCCUUCUCUGUGUCCCAGUGGGAGAGGAUACGUCACCACGGGACCAGGAGCCUUCAGCUACACAGAUGUGGACGAGUGUAAGCGCUUCCAUCCAGAGGUUUGUAAGAACGGCGUGUGUGUCAACAACAUCCCCGGAUACAACUGCUACUGCCCCAGUGGAUACGUGUACAACAACACGCUGCUGGAGUGUGUCGAUCACGAUGAGUGCGAGGAGGAGAGCUGUGUGGGCGGAGCCUGUGUGAACACCGUGGGCUCGUAUUACUGCAGCUGUGCUCCUCCUCUGCAGCUGGACGACACACAGCGACACUGUGUCAACUCCUCCCACCUGCCCGGGGACGAGAACCUGUCUCUCUGCUGGCAGCACGUCACAGCGGACCUGGUGUGUCAGAGUCCUCUCCUGGGGGCUCAGUCAUCUUCACGGACUGCUGCUGUCUGUACGGGG
Molecule: non-coding RNA, 488 nt
Organism: Gasterosteus aculeatus aculeatus (three-spined stickleback)
Lineage: Eukaryota; Metazoa; Chordata; Actinopteri; Perciformes; Gasterosteidae
Source: RefSeq, a predicted model, not a curated record